UGUUUGCUAGCCUUCUCCUGGCCCGCCAGGGUCUGCUGACAGAGCAGUAGCAGAACCCGCGGGCCAAUCCAGCUUUCUUGAUGUUCUUCUUCAUUUUUCACGUUGACCUAAUUUGGGUAUCGAGCUGGGGCCCUUCUCGGAGCCAGAGCUUAGGACGCCAGGCGAGGAGGACUCACGCGCUAAGCAGCAAGCCCUGUCUGCCUCCAGGAGCCCCGAGCCCAGUGGAGGAGACCACCAAGAUCCAGGCAGGCAGGAAGGGCUGGAGCUAAUCCAUGCAAGGAAGGCGCGAGCACUCGGGAGCAGAAAGGCUCCGUGCCGAGGCCAGGCCUCAGCUGAGUCAGGACGCAGGGCUAAAGGAGGCGAUCACUUUGGCCGGCCGGCCGGCAUAGACAGUGCUGAGGCCCGAAGGGUCCUGGCUCACCUCAUUCAUUGUGAAUGUUCCUCCCUGCCUGACAUUCCUCACGUGGUAAUCCCAGGUAAUGGAUCCCAGCGGAGCCGAAUGGUGGCUGUCUCUGAUAAGGAGACUUCUCCCAAGAGCCCUCGGGGCACUCAGAACCCCUGGGGUUGACUCGUCAGAGCUAAUAGAAAGGAAAAUGACUUUAUGAAUGGCUCCCAGAUAGAUAGGAGAAGGCCCCAGCUCUGUGCCCGAUUAGAGACUGGCUGGGAUCAUUUCACACAGCCGGGUGUGUAUUUAUUUGCUGCAGCAGCCUGGCUGCUGAGGACAGAGCUGAAGAAUGGGUGUUGGCCAGGGGAAACCAGCUGAGAUUCUCUUCCUCCGUGAUCUGGGUCUGACCCUCGCCAGAAGAAGCAGGCUCAGGGCCCCUCGCGAUCCAGCAAAGACUCUGAAGCGGAUCCUGAGCUCUUCUCAGGAAUUUUUGGCCAAAGGUAGUCCCAAAGGUCCCGAUUGUGCUAGGAAAUUCCAUAAUCAGACGUCCUGAUCAGUAUAUGGAAAGCCAACGUAAGAGCCUCUGAGAUGCUCUGCAAAUCCUGCCCUCCCAACUGUCUUCUCCUCCAUGCUCUUUUCUAACCCUCGCAUCCACCUCACAGGCACUUUGCCUACGUUAUGCAGUGCUCCAAUAGCUUAGGAGAUGGAUCCAGGAGAAGAACAUGAUUCCUUCAGCACCUGUAACUAUCCACGUUCUUCACCGUGAAUCAUAGGGACCCCUGUAUAAAAAAGAGGGAGAAGGUGCAGCUAGGUGCCUCAGUGUAUAGGGACCAAGCCCCCGAGUUCAGAGAACCUGGGUUCAAAUCCAGCCUCAGACACUCCUUAGCUGUAUAAGUAUGACCCUGGGCAAGUCACAGCCUCAACUGCCUAGCCCUCACCACUCUUCUGCCUCAGAACUGGUACUUAGGAAUAAUUUUAGGACAGAAGGUGAGGAUUUUAGAAAGAACUAAUUCAAAAGAGGGAGAAGUGAUUUGGUUAUUGGAGACAAUAGACAGAAAGAAGAAUACCUGGGGAGUUUGGUAGGAGAUCUCAUUUGGCACACAGGCAUGCUAGAGUGGUGACUGCGACUUCAGUGUUCCAGCGUCUAGCCUCUCUCUGUCUCUGUCUCUGUCUCUCUCAACGUCAUUUGGUAAUUAUUUCACUCUUCAAAAAGUAGACGAUACAAGGGGAAAUUUUAUCCCGGGACUGUUCAUCACUAACAGGGAAAAACUAUUUGUUGGGGUGGAAAUGAUGAGGACCCCUAGUGGGAAAGUGGUCACUCCGUCCUAGACUUUCUGCUUGACAGUCGGGGCAAAUCUGGUGAUCUGGAAGAUCAAGCAGGCAGUUGGGGGAAAUCAGAAUGCAAAGGGUGCAGAAGUUUCUCAUUUUCAAGAAACAAGGGAAAGCAAUGCCAGAGAGGGGGAAAACAGGGUAUGUCUGAAAAGAAUGAUGGAGAAGCACAUUUACUUAGAAUUUUAAAAUAAAAGUAAAGAAGGUGGAGGCA
Long non-coding RNA from Monodelphis domestica (gray short-tailed opossum), 1928 nucleotides. NCBI's taxonomy places the organism in Eukaryota, Metazoa, Chordata, Mammalia, Didelphimorphia, Didelphidae. The record is from Ensembl.